CCUCACGGCCUUCUCACCCUGGACAUGCCUGAUCUCAUCUGAUCUAGAAAGCUUAGUAGGGUUGGGCCUGGUUAGUACUUGGAUGGGAGACCACCCAGGAAUACCAGGUGCUUUAAGCU
Molecule: ribosomal RNA, 119 nt
Filed under: Amphilophus citrinellus (Midas cichlid)
Lineage: Eukaryota; Metazoa; Chordata; Actinopteri; Cichliformes; Cichlidae
Source: RNAcentral